This 201-nucleotide ribosomal RNA is filed under the name uncultured bacterium. RNAcentral's name for it is "partial 16S ribosomal RNA". It matches the Rfam family "Bacterial small subunit ribosomal RNA", at positions 328 to 539 of the family's 1533-position model. The record is from RNAcentral.
ACGCUCGACACCUACGGGAGGCAGCAGUUAGGAAUAUUGGGCAAUGGAGGAAACUCUGACCCAGCAACGCCGCGUGAAGGAAGAAGGUUUUCGGAUUGUAAACUUCUGAUCUAGGGGAAGAAGGAAGUGACGGUACCCUAGGAGAAAGCCACGACUAACUACGUGCCAUCAGCCGUGGUAAUCUGAGCGGGCUGGCAAGGC